Molecule: long non-coding RNA, 1111 nt
Filed under: Manihot esculenta (cassava)
Lineage: Eukaryota; Viridiplantae; Streptophyta; Magnoliopsida; Malpighiales; Euphorbiaceae
Description: long non-coding RNA (MESC_LNC009979)
Source: RNAcentral
UCCCUGAUUCCUCUGGUCCGUACCUACACAGGUGGACUCAAAUGAGGGACCAAACUCACUCAAGCACAUCUCUAAGAAACUCCCCAAAACCCCUCUAAACGAUCCUAAAACCAACACAUAAAACAUGCAAAAGAAAGCUGGACAGGGCACUUUCGGCGGCAAGUUCGGCGGCCGAAACCCCUCUCCAGAGAAAAAACUCAUGCAUGUUCGGCGGCACCUUCGGCGGCCGAAGGUCUCGUCCAGAGACGAAACUCACACACUUUCGGCGGCCGAACUCCCUCUUUCGGCGGCCGAAAGUCUCUGUCUAAACCGAAAGCCUAUCGUUCGGGGGCAACCUUUGGCAGCCGAAACUGCCUCCACAAGGGGUUCGGCGGCCGAACCUUCCUUCGGCGGCCGAACCUUCCUUCGGCGGCCGAACCUGGUUUUGCCCGAAGGGCAGAACCCUGCUCUGUUUCAUGCAAACUUUGCCCAAAAACCUACAAACAUGCAUAUCAACUACUCCCAACUAGCAUAUACACAUAUAUAUGCACAAAGGGGUCUAAACCUACCCUAAAACCCCAAACAAACAUAGCACAUAACACUUAAAGAUGUUUGAACACCUCAAAGCACCAAAACCCUCACCUAAACCUAAACAGGCAUACUACCCAUACAAACUUCAUAAAACCUUUCAAAAUCAUCAAAGAAGCUCAGGAUCUUCACUUACCUCUUACACAACUUGAGGAUGAAGGAUCCUAACGUGGAGAUAUGAAGAAAAGCUCUUCCAAAGCUCCAAGCUUCAAAACUUGGUUCUUUUGCUCAAAACCUUUAUAAGUCACCAAAACUCUUAAAACUCUUGAAAGAUUUGAUGAAAAUCAUGGACAACAUGAAAGUCAACGUGGGAGAGGCUGAAACUCACCUCUGGCUGCAAGUGGAGGAGAAAUAACCUCCUUCCACCGACCCUUGGCCCUUUUAUAGGUGGCUGGCCAGACCACCUUCGGCAGCCGAACGUGAAGCCGCAACCAUGCAAUGUUCGGCGGCCGAAAGUUACCUUCGGCGGCCGAACCUUUGCAUUUCUCCCUUGUUGCUUUUCUUUCAAAACUCAAGUCUUUUAACACUUCAAAACAUGAAAACA